GUAGGUGGCAAGCGUUGUCCGGAAUUAUUGGGCGUAAAGCGCGCGCAGGCGGUUCUUUAAGUCUGAUGUGAAAGCCCACGGCUCAACCGUGGAGGGUCAUUGGAAACUGGAGAACUUGAGUACAGAAGAGGAAAGCGGAAUUCCACGUGUAGCGGUGAAAUGCGUAGAGAUGUGGAGGAACACCAGUGGCGAAGGCGGCUUUUCUGGUCUGUAACUGACGCUGAGGCGCGAAAGCGUGGGGAGCAAACAGGGAUUAGAUACCCUGGUAGUCCACGCCGUAAACGAUGAGUGCUAAGUGUUAGGGGGUUUCCGCCCCCUUAGUGCUGCGGCUAACGCAUUAAGCACUCCGCCUGGGGAGUACGGCCGCAAGGCUG
Molecule: ribosomal RNA, 374 nt
Filed under: uncultured organism
Description: partial 16S ribosomal RNA
Rfam family: Bacterial small subunit ribosomal RNA
Source: RNAcentral